CAGUCGCGCGGUAAUACGUAGGUGGCAAGCGUUGUCCGGAAUUAUUGGGCGUAAAGGGCUCGCAGGCGGUUUCUUAAGUCUGAUGUGAAAGCCCCCGGCUCAACCGGGGAGGUUCAUUGGAAACUGGGAAACUUGAGUGCAGAAGAGGAGAGUGGAAUUCCACGUGUAGCGGUGAAAUGCGUAGAGAUGUGGAGGAACACCAGUGGCGAAGGCGACUCUCUGGUCUGUAACUGACGCUGAGGAGCGAAAGCGUGGGGAGCGAACAGGAUUAGAUACCCCCGUAGUCCCUGUCUCUUAUACA
This 301-nucleotide ribosomal RNA is filed under the name uncultured bacterium. RNAcentral's name for it is "partial 16S ribosomal RNA". It matches the Rfam family "Bacterial small subunit ribosomal RNA", at positions 509 to 808 of the family's 1533-position model. The record is from RNAcentral.